Molecule: ribosomal RNA, 406 nt
Filed under: uncultured bacterium
Lineage: Bacteria
Description: partial 16S ribosomal RNA
Rfam family: Bacterial small subunit ribosomal RNA
Source: RNAcentral
AUUGAACGCUGGCGGCAGGCUUAACACAUGCAAGUCGAGCGAGCGGCGGACGGGUGAGUAAUGUCUGGGAAACUGCCUGAUGGAGGGGGAUAACUACUGGAAACGGUAGCUAAUACCGCAUACCAUCAGAUGUGCCCAGAUGGGAUUAGCUAGUAGGUGGGGUUAGUGCUCACCUAGGCGACGAUCCCUAGCUGGUCUUAGAGGAUGACCAGCCACACUGGAACUUGGACACAGUCCAGACUCCUACGGGAGGCAGCAUUGGGAGAUAUUGCACAUGGGGCGCAAGCCUGAUGCAGCCAUGCCGCGUGUGUGAAGAAGGCCUUCAGGUUGUAAAGCACUUUCAGCGAGUAGGCGUUACUCGCAGAAGAAGCACCGGCUAACGCCGUGCCAGCAGCCGCGGUAAUAC